This is a long non-coding RNA of Panicum virgatum (switchgrass), 561 nucleotides long. RefSeq lists it as uncharacterized. NCBI's taxonomy places the organism in Eukaryota, Viridiplantae, Streptophyta, Magnoliopsida, Poales, Poaceae. The transcript has 3 exons. The record is from RefSeq and is a predicted model, not a curated record.
CAAGCCAAAGGUAGGGAUCCCGUUGUACGGCGCGCUGCGAGGAGACGGCGGAGGUAGGGAUCCCGUGCGCGCGCGGAGGAGGAAUCGAUUGCCGCCAAAGGCACAGAAGGGCGCGGCGGCGGCGAUGCGAAAUCAGUUAAAGGUAGAUGCCGCUCGGGUGAAGGCGGCUGCAGCUCGGAAGGAUGCGGCGCAGCUGCCGGAGCAGAGGAGCUCGUGCAAGGCGAUGCAUCUGCCGGAGCAGUUGAAGCCCGCGCGGAGGAGGGCCUGUGGGUGGAUGUGGCGCAGCUAAUCCACCAUCCUUGUUCACGGAUGCAAGCUGCUUGUUCAACUCUCAGCCAUGGGUUCUUUUCCAAUCUUCAGAUCCUGUGACAUGGUGAGGACAGUUUCAGACAUGGGGAACUAGUCGUUCUUAUUUCUUUUGUUUGAACUGAUGGCUGUUGAUAUGUCGUACCUAAAUUUAUUUUGUAUGAACUGAUGGUUAUUGGUGUGCCUACCUAAAUUUAUUUUGUAUGAACUGAAGGGUUGUAGGCAAGUUUUAUAGGACAUCAAUUCGUCCGGCGA